Molecule: long non-coding RNA, 476 nt
Organism: Macrosteles quadrilineatus (aster leafhopper)
Lineage: Eukaryota; Metazoa; Arthropoda; Insecta; Hemiptera; Cicadellidae
Exons: 3
Source: RefSeq, a predicted model, not a curated record
CGUAUACAAUAAAGUUUAUCUUUAGAUCUAAAUAGUAUUAAAACGAAAAAGAUUCCGUUGAAAAUGUUUAUCUGAUAGUAUGGUGUUUGUUUACCUUAUCAUGGAUAUCAUUAUUUUGAAAUUCCAUCAGCAAUAGUGUUUAUUUGAAGAGCCUAUGGUCAUUAUCUUGUUCCAUUAUACAUUUAUGAAAGUGCCUAAGAAGGUAUGAAUAGUCGUAAUGGAUCUUCGUCAAGAGAUAAAAAGGAUACAAAGUUGGUUUCUAUGCAAGACGAGAACAAAUUACGUAAUUUGUGGAGAAACGAUUUUUCUUCUAUCGAGUCUUCCUUAGUCCAAAAACUGCCUAAAUUUUCAUCGUACAUAAAAAACCAUUGCAAUGCCAAUUUUCGAAUUUUGCACCGUUUGAAAGAAGACGGAAGACAAACCAUUUUUAUGCUAAAUCCGGAGUACCAUCUGAAGUUUCUCGAAGAGAAUUUAAG